GACGAACGCUGGCGGCGUGCUUAACACAUGCAAGUCGAGCGGUAAGGCUCCUUCGGGAGUACACGAGCGGCGAACGGGUGAGUAACACGUGAGUAAUCUGCCCUUCACUUCGGGAUAACCACCGGAAACGGUGGCUAAUACCGAAUACGACCAGUCUUCGCAUGAGGUGCUGGUGGAAAGUCUUUUCGGUGAAGGAUGUGCUCGCGGCCUAUCAGCUUGUUGGUGGGGUAAUGGCCUACCAAGGCUUCGACGGGUAGCCGGCCUGAGAGGGUGACCGGCCACACUGGGACUGAGACACGGCCCAGACUCCUACGGGAGGCAGCAGUGGGGAAUAUUGGACAAUGGGCGAAAGCCUGAUCCAGCAACGCCGCGUGAGGGAUGACGGCCUUCGGGUUGUAAACCUCUUUCAGUACCGACGAAGCGCCCUGUCGGGUGGUGACGGUAGGUACAGAAGAAGGACCGGCCAACUACGU
RNAcentral lists this ribosomal RNA (473 nucleotides) under uncultured bacterium. RNAcentral's name for it is "partial 16S ribosomal RNA". It matches the Rfam family "Bacterial small subunit ribosomal RNA", at positions 28 to 506 of the family's 1533-position model. The record is from RNAcentral.